UGCGGUGGAUUCGGUGUUGGUACCGUCAGGUGGCUUUGAACCACCUUGUCGCAGGUUCGAUUCCUGUCGCCGCAA
This 75-nucleotide transfer RNA is filed under the name Planctomycetaceae bacterium. RNAcentral describes it as "tRNA-Gln". The stretch from base 10 to 75 matches the Rfam family "tRNA". From Rfam's summary of the family: Transfer RNA (tRNA) molecules are approximately 80 nucleotides in length. The record is from RNAcentral. Lineage: Bacteria; Pseudomonadati; Planctomycetota; Planctomycetia; Planctomycetales; Planctomycetaceae.